CCUACGGGGUGCAGCAGUGAGGAAUCUUGGUCAAUGGAGGCAACUCUGAACCAGCCACGUCGCGUGAAGGAUGAAGGCCUUACGGGUCGUAAACUUCUUUUUCGGGGGAAUAAACGGGGUCACGGGUGGCCCUUUGCAUGUACCCCGCGAAUAAGCACCGGCUAACUCCGUGCCAGCAGCCGCGGUAAUACGGAGGGUGCAAGCGUUAUUCGGAAUUACUGGGCGUAAAGCGCGCGUAGGCGGCCCUGUAAGUCAGGUGUGAAAUCCCACGGCUCAACCGUGGAACUGCACUUGAAACUGCGGGGCUUGAAUCCUGGAGAGGGUGGCGGAAUUCCUGGUGUAGGAGUGAAAUCCGUAGAUAUCAGGAGGAACACCGGUGGCGAAGGCGGCCACCUGGACAGGUAUUGACGCUGAGGUGCGAAAGUGCGGGGAGCAAACAG
Molecule: ribosomal RNA, 440 nt
Filed under: uncultured bacterium
Lineage: Bacteria
Description: bacterial SSU rRNA
Rfam family: Bacterial small subunit ribosomal RNA
Source: RNAcentral